GAUGAACGCUGGCGGCGUGCCUAAUACAUGCAAGUCGAGCGAACGGGCGAGAAGCUUGCUUCUCUGAUGUUAGCGGCGGACGGGUGAGUAACACGUGGAUAACCUACCUAUAAGACUGGGAUAACUUCGGGAAACCGGAGCUAAUACCGGAUGAUAUUUUGAACCGCAUGGUUCAAAAGUGAAAGACGGUCUUGCUGUCACUUAUAGAUGGAUCCGCGCUGCAUUAGCUAGUUGGUAAGGUAACGGCUUACCAAGGCAACGAUGCAUAGCCGACCUGAGAGGGUGAUCGGCCACACUGGAACUGAGACACGGUCCAGACUCCUACGGGAGGCAGCAGUAGGGAAACUUCCGCAAAGGGCGAAAGCCUGACGGAGCAACGCCGCGUGAGUGAUGAAGGUCUUCGGAUCGUAAAACUCUGUUAUUAGGGAAGAACAUAUGUGUAAGUAACUGUGCACAUCUUGACGGUACCUAAUCAGAAAGCCACGGCUAACUACGUG
This 497-nucleotide ribosomal RNA is filed under the name uncultured bacterium. RNAcentral's name for it is "partial 16S ribosomal RNA". It matches the Rfam family "Bacterial small subunit ribosomal RNA", at positions 28 to 507 of the family's 1533-position model. The record is from RNAcentral.